AUGGAGAGCACGCGCAGAAGGAGAAAAUCAACAGUGAGCAGGUGGAACUACAUAGAAGGAUCCCAAUUAUUUGCUGCCUUUUUCCUAGAGACGGCUAAGCUGCAUUAACAACGACGGGAACCUUCCAGCUUACAUCUGAGCUGCUGACAUAUCCCCUCUCUCACAUCCCUGGACAGGAAUAGAAUCUAAAUAUCC
Molecule: non-coding RNA, 195 nt
Organism: Equus caballus (horse)
Lineage: Eukaryota; Metazoa; Chordata; Mammalia; Perissodactyla; Equidae
Source: RefSeq, a predicted model, not a curated record